AGGGAAAGGGGGACUGCAACGGUGUUUAUUAAACACAUUCGAUAUGGCAAAACAAGUCAAGAAAAACUGUGAUAAGCUGAUAACUAUGUGUUGGUAUCAAUCUUUGUGAGCUUCAAGGAAAAUUAAUUUUCAGUGAUCCCAUUCAUGGUCUGAUUUCUACUACCACUGUGAGACUACAGUAAGAAGACCAGAGAAUCAGCUAUAAUUUUUUACUCACACACACACACGCAGGCAUGCACCAUUAAGACAAAGACAUUAAUAAUAUGAGCAUAUGAAUCUCAAAAACGGUGACAAUCAACAACAAUAACAAAUACGAACUGUUGCACACAUCCGGUUUUGUUUUUCACCCAGGUAAGUUUGAGCAAACUCUGAUACAUUACAACAAUACGCAAGCGACCGGAGCAAACUUAAUGGAACAACUUGUUUGUGCUGAGUUUCACCAUAUCAGAGAAAGUGGCACACACCAGCAAGAUUUCACAGAUGCUGCAUGACAUUCGAAAUGUUUGAUCUUCAGUGUACGUGUGUGAGGAGAACUGUUCUUCAGGACAUGACAUGUAAGUAUUAAGUGCAUUAAUAGAUCUGAAAUAGAGUGGGGGAACUGACGUCAGAACCAGGAAUUGUAAUUCGCCGCGAGUUCCUUUGAGAUUUUCCAAUGGUUUUUUUUCAAUUUAUGAAUAAAAU
Molecule: long non-coding RNA, 681 nt
Organism: Sinocyclocheilus grahami
Lineage: Eukaryota; Metazoa; Chordata; Actinopteri; Cypriniformes; Cyprinidae
Exons: 3
Source: RefSeq, a predicted model, not a curated record